UUAAGUUAUUAAGGGCGCACGGUGGAUGCCUUGGCACUAGAAGCCGAUGAAGGACGUUACUAACGACGAUAUGCUUUGGGGAGCUGUAAGUAAGCUUUGAUCCAGAGAUUUCCGAAUGGGGAAACCCAGCAUGAGUUAUGUCAUGUUAUCGAUAUGUGAAUACAUAGCAUAUCAGAAGGCAUACCCGGAGAACUGAAACAUCUUAGUACCCGGAGGAAGAGAAAGAAAAUUCGAUUCCCUUAGUAGCGGCGAGCGAAACGGGAAGAGCCCAAACCAACAAGCUUGCUUGUUGGGGUUGUAGGACACUCUAUACGGAGUUACAAAGGACGACAUUAGACGAAUCAUCUGGAAAGAUGAAUCAAAGAAGGUAAUAAUCCUGUAGUCGAAAAUGUUGUCUCUCUUGAGUGGAUCCUGAGUACGACGGAGCACGUGAAAUUCCGUCGGAAUCUGGGAGGACCAUCUCCUAAGGCUAAAUACUCUCUAGUGACCGAUAGUGAACCAGUACCGUGAGGGAAAGGUGAAAAGCACCCCGGAAGGGGAGUGAAAUAGAACCUGAAACCGUGUGCUUACAAGUAGUCAGAGCCCGUUAAUGGGUGAUGGCGUGCCUUUUGUAGAAUGAACCGGCGAGUUACGAUUUGAUGCAAGGUUAAGCAGUAAAUGUGGAGCCGUAGCGAAAGCGAGUCUGAAUAGGGCGUUUAGUAUUUGGUCGUAGACCCGAAACCAGGUGAUCUACCCUUGGUCAGGUUGAAGUUCAGGUAACACUGAAUGGAGGACCGAACCGACUUACGUUGAAAAGUGAGCGGAUGAACUGAGGGUAGCGGAGAAAUUCCAAUCGAACCUGGAGAUAGCUGGUUCUCUCCGAAAUAGCUUUAGGGCUAGCCUCAAGUGAUGAUUAUUGGAGGUAGAGCACUGUUUGGACGAGGGGCCCCUCUCGGGUUACCGAAUUCAGACAAACUCCGAAUGCCAAUUAAUUUAACUUGGGAGUCAGAACAUGGGUGAUAAGGUCCGUGUUCGAAAGGGAAACAGCCCAGACCACCAGCUAAGGUCCCAAAAUAUAUGUUAAGUGGAAAAGGAUGUGGCGUUGCCCAGACAACUAGGAUGUUGGCUUAGAAGCAGCCAUCAUUUAAAGAGUGCGUAAUAGCUCACUAGUCGAGUGACACUGCGCCGAAAAUGUACCGGGGCUAAACAUAUUACCGAAGCUGUGGAUUGUCCUUUGGACAAUGGUAGGAGAGCGUUCUAAGGGCGUUGAAGCAUGAUCGUAAGGACAUGUGGAGCGCUUAGAAGUGAGAAUGCCGGUGUGAGUAGCGAAAGACGGGUGAGAAUCCCGUCCACCGAUUGACUAAGGUUUCCAGAGGAAGGCUCGUCCGCUCUGGGUUAGUCGGGUCCUAAGCUGAGGCCGACAGGCGUAGGCGAUGGAUAACAGGUUGAUAUUCCUGUACCACCUAUAAUCGUUUUAAUCGAUGGGGGGACGCAGUAGGAUAGGCGAAGCGUGCGAUUGGAUUGCACGUCUAAGCAGUAAGGCUGAGUAUUAGGCAAAUCCGGUACUCGUUAAGGCUGAGCUGUGAUGGGGAGAAGACAUUGUGUCUUCGAGUCGUUGAUUUCACACUGCCGAGAAAAGCCUCUAGAUAGAAAAUAGGUGCCCGUACCGCAAACCGACACAGGUAGUCAAGAUGAGAAUUCUAAGGUGAGCGAGCGAACUCUCGUUAAGGAACUCGGCAAAAUGACCCCGUAACUUCGGGAGAAGGGGUGCUCUUUAGGGUUAACGCCCAGAAGAGCCGCAGUGAAUAGGCCCAAGCGACUGUUUAUCAAAAACACAGGUCUCUGCUAAACCGUAAGGUGAUGUAUAGGGGCUGACGCCUGCCCGGUGCUGGAAGGUUAAGAGGAGUGGUUAGCUUCUGCGAAGCUACGAAUCGAAGCCCCAGUAAACGGCGGCCGUAACUAUAACGGUCCUAAGGUAGCGAAAUUCCUUGUCGGGUAAGUUCCGACCCGCACGAAAGGCGUAACGAUUUGGGCACUGUCUCAACGAGAGACUCGGUGAAAUCAUAGUACCUGUGAAGAUGCAGGUUACCCGCGACAGGACGGAAAGACCCCGUGGAGCUUUACUGUAGCCUGAUAUUGAAAUUCGGCACAGCUUGUACAGGAUAGGUAGGAGCCUUUGAAACGUGAGCGCUAGCUUACGUGGAGGCGCUGGUGGGAUACUACCCUAGCUGUGUUGGNUUUCUAACCCGCACCACUUAUCGUGGUGGGAGACAGUGUCAGGCGGGCAGUUUGACUGGGGCGGUCGCCUCCUAAAAGGUAACGGAGGCGCUCAAAGGUUCCCUCAGAAUGGUUGGAAAUCAUUCAUAGAGUGUAAAGGCAUAAGGGAGCUUGACUGCGAGACCUACAAGUCGAGCAGGGUCGAAAGACGGACUUAGUGAUCCGGUGGUUCCGCAUGGAAGGGCCAUCGCUCAACGGAUAAAAGCUACCCCGGGGAUAACAGGCUUAUCUCCCCCAAGAGUUCACAUCGACGGGGAGGUUUGGCACCUCGAUGUCGGCUCAUCGCAUCCUGGGGCUGUAGUCGGUCCCAAGGGUUGGGCUGUUCGCCCAUUAAAGCGGUACGCGAGCUGGGUUCAGAACGUCGUGAGACAGUUCGGUCCCUAUCCGUCGUGGGCGUAGGAAAUUUGAGAGGAGCUGUCCUUAGUACGAGAGGACCGGGAUGGACAUACCUCUGGUGUACCAGUUGUCGUGCCAACGGCAUAGCUGGGUAGCUAUGUGUGGACGGGAUAAGUGCUGAAAGCAUCUAAGCAUGAAGCCCCCCUCAAGAUGAGAUUUCCCAACUUCGGUUAUAAGAUCCCUCAAAGAUGAUGAGGUUAAUAGGUUCGAGGUGGAAGCAUGGUGACAUGUGGAGCUGACGAAUACUAAUCGAUCGAAGACUUAAUCAA
Molecule: ribosomal RNA, 2921 nt
Filed under: Staphylococcus aureus
Lineage: Bacteria; Bacillati; Bacillota; Bacilli; Caryophanales; Staphylococcaceae
Description: 23S ribosomal RNA
Rfam family: Bacterial large subunit ribosomal RNA
Source: RNAcentral